This 329-nucleotide ribosomal RNA is filed under the name uncultured bacterium. RNAcentral describes it as "bacterial SSU rRNA". It matches the Rfam family "Bacterial small subunit ribosomal RNA", at positions 165 to 509 of the family's 1533-position model. The record is from RNAcentral.
ACUACCUAGUUUUGGGGCACGUCCUGGGAGUGGUACAAAAGGAGCAAUCCGCUGUAAGAUGGCUUCGCGUCCGAUUAGACAGUUGGCGGGGUAACGGCCCACCAAAUCUACGAUCGGUAGCCGGACUGAGAGGUUGAACGGCCACAGUUGGGACUGAGACACCGGCCCAGACUCCGUACGGGGAGGCAGCAGUGGGGGAUAUUGCACAAUGGAGGAAACUCUGAUGCAGCGACGCCGCGUGAGGGAAGAAGGUUUUCGGAUUGUAAACCUCUGUCUUCGGUGACGAAAAUGACGGUAGCCGAGGAGGAAGCCACGGCUAACUACGUGCC